Molecule: ribosomal RNA, 497 nt
Filed under: uncultured bacterium
Lineage: Bacteria
Description: partial 16S ribosomal RNA
Rfam family: Bacterial small subunit ribosomal RNA
Source: RNAcentral
GAUGAACGCUGGCGGCGUGCCUAAUACAUGCAAGUCGAGCGAACAGACGAGGAGCUUGCUCCUCUGACGUUAGCGGCGGACGGGUGAGUAACACGUGGAUAACCUACCUAUAAGACUGGGAUAACUUCGGGAAACCGGAGCUAAUACCGGGUAAUAUAUUGAACCGCAUGGUUCAAUAGUGAAAGACGGUUUUGCUGUCACUUAUAGAUGGAUCCGCGCCGCAUUAGCUAGUUGGUAAGGUAACGGCUUACCAAGGCGACGAUGCGUAGCCGACCUGAGAGGGUGAUCGGCCACACUGGAACUGAGACACGGUCCAGACUCCUACGGGAGGUAGCAGUAGGGAAUCUUCCGCAAUGGGCGAAAGCCUGACGGAGCAACGCCGCGUGAGUGAUGAAGGUCUUCGGAUCGUAAAACUCUGUUAUUAGGGAAGAACAAAUGUGUAAGUAACUAUGCACGUCUUGACGGUACCUAAUCAGAAAGCCACGGCUAACUACGUG